UACGUAGGGGGCAAGCGUUGUCCGGAAUCAUUGGGCGUAAAGCGCGUGUAGGCGGCUCGAUAAGUCUGCUGUGAAAGUCCAGGGCUCAACCCUGGGAUGCCGGUGGAUACUGUCGAGCUCGAGUCCGGAAGAGGCGAAGUGGAAUUCCUGGUGUAGCGGUGAAAUGCGUAGAGAUCGGGAGGAACACCAGAGGCGAAGGCGGCGACCUGGACAAGUACUGACACUCAACUGCGAAAGCGUGGGGAGCAAACAGG
This 254-nucleotide ribosomal RNA is filed under the name uncultured bacterium. RNAcentral's name for it is "partial 16S ribosomal RNA". It matches the Rfam family "Bacterial small subunit ribosomal RNA", at positions 524 to 776 of the family's 1533-position model. The record is from RNAcentral.